UUGUCUCUCUUGAGUGGAUCCUGAGUACGACGGAGCACGUGAAAUUCCGUCGGAAUCUGGGAGGACCAUCUCCUAAGGCUAAAUACUCUCUAGUGACCGAUAGUGAACCAGUACCGUGAGGGAAAGGUGAAAAGCACCCCGGAAGGGGAGUGAAAUAGAACCUGAAACCGUGUGCUUACAAGUAGUCAGAGCCCGUUAAUGGGUGAUGGCGUGCCUUUUGUAGAAUGAACCGGCGAGUUACGAUUUGAUGCAAGGUUAAGCAGUAAAUGUGGAGCCGUAGCGAAAGCGAGUCUGAAUAGGGCGUUUAGUAUUUGGUCGUAGACCCGAAACCAGGUGAUCUACCCUUGGUCAGGUUGAAGUUCAGGUAACACUGAAUGGAGGACCGAACCGACUUACGUUGAAAAGUGAGCGGAUGAACUGAGGGUAGCGGAGAAAUUCCAAUCGAACCUGGAGAUAGCUGGUUCUCUCCGAAAUAGCUUUAGGGCUAGCCUCAAGUGAUGAUUAUUGGAGGUAGAGCACUGUUUGGACGAGGGGCCCCUCUCGGGUUACCGAAUUCAGACAAACUCCGAAUGCCAAUUAAUUUAACUUGGGAGUCAGAACAUGGGUGAUAAGGUCCGUGUUCGAAAGGGAAACAGCCCAGACCACCAGCUAAGGUCCCAAAAUAUAUGUUAAGUGGAAAAGGAUGUGGCGUUGCCCAGACAACUAGGAUGUUGGCUUAGAAGCAGCCAUCAUUUAAAGAGUGCGUAAUAGCUCACUAGUCGAGUGACACUGCGCCGAAAAUGUACCGGGGCUAAACAUAUUACCGAAGCUGUGGAUUGUCCUUUGGACAAUGGUAGGAGAGCGUUCUAAGGGCGUUGAAGCAUGAUCGUAAGGACAUGUGGAGCGCUUAGAAGUGAGAAUGCCGGUGUGAGUAGCGAAAGACGGGUGAGAAUCCCGUCCACCGAUUGACUAAGGUUUCCAGAGGAAGGCUCGUCCGCUCUGGGUUAGUCGGGUCCUAAGCUGAGGCCGACAGGCGUAGGCGAUGGAUAACAGGUUGAUAUUCCUGUACCACCUAUAAUCGUUUUAAUCGAUGGGGGGACGCAGUAGGAUAGGCGAAGCGUGCGAUUGGAUUGCACGUCUAAGCAGUAAGGCUGAGUAUUAGGCAAAUCCGGUACUCGUUAAGGCUGAGCUGUGAUGGGGAGAAGACAUUGUGUCUUCGAGUCGUUGAUUUCACACUGCCGAGAAAAGCCUCUAGAUAGAAAAUAGGUGCCCGUACCGCAAACCGACACAGGUAGUCAAGAUGAGAAUUCUAAGGUGAGCGAGCGAACUCUCGUUAAGGAACUCGGCAAAAUGACCCCGUAACUUCGGGAGAAGGGGUGCUCUUUAGGGUUAACGCCCAGAAGAGCCGCAGUGAAUAGGCCCAAGCGACUGUUUAUCAAAAACACAGGUCUCUGCUAAACCGUAAGGUGAUGUAUAGGGGCUGACGCCUGCCCGGUGCUGGAAGGUUAAGAGGAGUGGUUAGCUUCUGCGAAGCUACGAAUCGAAGCCCCAGUAAACGGCGGCCGUAACUAUAACGGUCCUAAGGUAGCGAAAUUCCUUGUCGGGUAAGUUCCGACCCGCACGAAAGGCGUAACGAUUUGGGCACUGUCUCAACGAGAGACUCGGUGAAAUCAUAGUACCUGUGAAGAUGCAGGUUACCCGCGACAGGACGGAAAGACCCCGUGGAGCUUUACUGUAGCCUGAUAUUGAAAUUCGGCACAGCUUGUACAGGAUAGGUAGGAGCCUUUGAAACGUGAGCGCUAGCUUACGUGGAGGCGCUGGUGGGAUACUACCCUAGCUGUGUUGGCUUUCUAACCCGCACCACUUAUCGUGGUGGGAGACAGUGUCAGGCGGGCAGUUUGACUGGGGCGGUCGCCUCCUAAAAGGUAACGGAGGCGCUCAAAGGUUCCCUCAGAAUGGUUGGAAAUCAUUCAUAGAGUGUAAAGGCAUAAGGGAGCUUGACUGCGAGACCUACAAGUCGAGCAGGGUCGAAAGACGGACUUAGUGAUCCGGUGGUU
Molecule: ribosomal RNA, 2036 nt
Filed under: Staphylococcus aureus
Lineage: Bacteria; Bacillati; Bacillota; Bacilli; Caryophanales; Staphylococcaceae
Description: partial 23S ribosomal RNA
Rfam family: Bacterial large subunit ribosomal RNA
Source: RNAcentral